AAAGUACACCCUCCAUCCCAAAAUUCUUGUCUUGGAUUUGUCUAGAUACGGAUGUAUCAAGUCACAUUUUAGUAUUAGAUACAUUCGUAUCUAGACAAAUCUAAGACAAGAAAUUUGGGACAAAGGGAGUAGUUG
Molecule: non-coding RNA, 135 nt
Organism: Triticum aestivum (bread wheat)
Lineage: Eukaryota; Viridiplantae; Streptophyta; Magnoliopsida; Poales; Poaceae
Source: Rfam